UAUGUGAUCGUCUCUCGCAUAUCAAUAAGCGGAGGAAAAGAAACUAACAAGGAUUCCCCUAGUAACGGCGAGUGAAGCGGGAAGAGCUCAAAUUUGAAAUCUUAAAGGGUUUCCCUUUACGAAUUGUAGUUUAAAGAAGUGUUUUCUGUUGAGGUUUUGGUAAAAGUUCUUUGGAAUAGGACAUCAUAGAGGUGAGAAUCCCGUAUUUGACCUUUACUUUCAACUUUGUGAUACACUUUCAAAGAGUCGGAUUGUUUGGGAAUGCAGUCCAAAAUGGGUGGUAAAUUUCAUCUAAAGCUAAAUAUUGGCGAGAGACCGAUAGCGAACAAGUAGCCGUGAGGGAAAGAUGAAAAGAACUUUGAAAAGAGAGUUAAACAGUACGUGAAAUUGUCAAAAGGGAAGCGUUUGACACCAGUGUUGUUUUUCUGAAAAUCAAUUAAAGAACUGUUUAUGCUAAGUUGUUUAGACUUUAUCAGCUAACUGUUUAGUUUUGAGCUUUUCUUUAAUGCACUUUUCAGUUAACAAGUCAACAUCAAUUUCUUUUGCUGUAAAAAAGGCUUGAGGAAGGUGGCUUGAGAUUCGUCUUAAGUGUUUAUAGCCUCUUGCCUAUGCAGUCGGAGAGAUUGAGGUCUGCAGCGUAGAUCCUUCGGGGCUAAAUGCAUUUGUGCUAAGUUAUAGCAUUUUAUAGACAACUUGUUGACUAUGAUUUGUCUUGUAGCUUACUCGCUUAUGUUAUUUUACCUACGCUUAGGAUGUUGAAGACUCUACAGAGAUA
RNAcentral lists this ribosomal RNA (775 nucleotides) under uncultured Neocallimastigales. RNAcentral's name for it is "partial large subunit ribosomal RNA". It matches the Rfam family "Eukaryotic large subunit ribosomal RNA", at positions 24 to 633 of the family's 3401-position model. Lineage: Eukaryota; Fungi; Neocallimastigomycota; Neocallimastigomycetes; Neocallimastigales. The record is from RNAcentral.